UACGAAGGGUGCAAGCGUUAAUCGGAAUUACUGGGCGUAAAGCGUGCGUAGGCGGUGAGUUAAGUCUGUCGUGAAAUCCCCGGGCUCAACCUGGGAAUGGCGAUGGAUACUGGCUCGCUAGAGUGUGAUAGAGGAUGGUGGAAUUCCCGGUGUAGCGGUGAAAUGCGUAGAGAUCGGGGAGGAACAUCAGUGGCGAAGGCGGCCAUCUGGAUCAACACUGACGCUGAGGCACGAAAGCGUGGGGAGCAAACAGG
RNAcentral lists this ribosomal RNA (254 nucleotides) under uncultured bacterium. Its description in RNAcentral is "partial 16S ribosomal RNA". It matches the Rfam family "Bacterial small subunit ribosomal RNA", at positions 524 to 776 of the family's 1533-position model. The record is from RNAcentral.